Molecule: long non-coding RNA, 3908 nt
Organism: Haemorhous mexicanus (house finch)
Lineage: Eukaryota; Metazoa; Chordata; Aves; Passeriformes; Fringillidae
Exons: 2
Source: RefSeq, a predicted model, not a curated record
GAGAAGGUCUGCCCGCGCCAAGAUGCUGCGCAGUGCCAGAACACCCUGUGCUCGUGCCGCGGGGAUGCAGCGUGGUGCCAGAACGCCCUGUGCCCACGCUGUGGAGGUGCUGUGCAGCACUAGAGCGCCCAGUGUCCACGCUGUGGGGCUGAUGUGCUGGGUCAGACCACACCGCCAUCUUGGCUGAGCAUCCUGUGACCAUGACGCAGGUCCAUGAGGCUCCCGGGAUCGCCCCCUCACCACCGGAGCUGCCCACACCCAUCGUCACCAUGGAAACACCUGGACCGCCCCUGCUUGGAGCUGGUUGGCUCAGCCUACAAACUGCUCCCAUAGUCCCAGCUCUGCUGGCCAUGCCUGCCUGCCGCUGCAACGCGGGGAUGGGGCCCGAGAUGAUGUCACUCGAAAUGCCUGGAUAGUGUCACUACAUCACACCCGGAAAUGCACUGAAACCAGGAAGUCCCAGCACUAUGAUGCUGAGUCCCACUCCCAGCCCCGCACCUGUCACUGCCAUAGCACCAUCACACCUAUAGCCAAGGUUUUAACAACCCGAAGAAGCCCUUACGACCCUGCCGACAACAGCUCCAGCCUCUUUGAUGUUCCGAGCAGAAACCAUCCCCACUCGCGACCUGGUAAUCUUCUGGAUGGAGAGAGACUGCAGUUAGCGGGUUUGAGCUGCCUUAGGGUGAAUUCCGCAGCUGCCUGUCUGCAGCCAGGGCAUUGCACCGACCUCCCCGCUCCGGUCCAAGUCGACGGUGACUCGGUCCAAGUCGACGGUGACUCGUCACUCGUCAGCAGCGCCCGGCCAAGGAGAAAAAACUGUGGAAGUGGAGACUUUAGCAAAAGCUGUGACGAAAGAGAGAAAGGCGAGAGCUCUGCUUCAAAGGUGGUUGUUUUGGGUUUGCAACUGUAGCCACUCGUAAAGACUACAUUUAGCAAUUAGAAACUGUUUUGACCUGAACUUUGCAAACUGCCAGCAGCAAGAAAAGUGAGCGAGGUCCUGCGGUCGAGCCAGGAUCUAAAUUACCAGGAUCUCAAUAACACCAGAAAUGUGAUCAGAUAUAAAAUAGCAAUGCUUACCAAAAUCAGCUAUCUUGGCAUUCAUGUGUGCAUCAAGCAGCACAUUUUCAGGCUUCAGAUCUCUAUGUACUACCAUAUGCCUGUGACAGUAAUCCACGCCAGAAAGGAUUUGCUGGAACAGACGUCUACUUUCCUUUUCAUCAAGCUAAGACAAACAAAGGUUUUAAAGAAUUUUGAGACAGUGGAAGGAUAACUUGAUUUUCCUCUAUAUGAAUUGAAGGAAACUUUCCAAUGACCACAAGCUAUCAUUUAUAGUUCUGAUAUUUUAUACAGCAGAUGUUAUAUACUUAGUAAUUAGAAAUAUUAGCACCCAAACAUUAACUUUGUCUAAUUAAAAUAUCAAUGAACGUAGAUAUUUAAGCAUGGUAUAAGAUUAAAGUUGACAAAAGCUGAUGACAGUAUAUAAGUGAUAAACUUUGGAUGCUCCUUAUGCUCUUAUUAGCAGCUAGCCCUAAACAGCAGACUUAACUGGAUAUUUCCUAUAAACACAUCCUAAUCCAUGUCAAAGUUUGCUCAGUCUAACAACUAACUAAACAUAUCCAGGCUAUCUAGAUGGUUUGUCAAAAGUGACUUUAGGACUUUCACAGAAACCAGUCUAAUAGUAGAAGAGGGUAAUCAGGGCACAACAGUAGCUUUUCAAUAAUAGUUUAUAAUGAAGAAAGUUUACAGCUACUCCAACUGGGUAACAUAUCCAUCCAGUUUCUACACAGUAAUUGUAAAUUAACAUAUCAGUAUCAUUUAUUCUUCAGUAGAGUGGAAAAGUGCUACAAAGUCACAUACAAAGAUCUGAAACAUGUUAAUAUAUAACCAUUUUUAUUUUCAAAACAAGAUAUAGUCAUAAGGUAUAUUUUAAUUGCUAACCGCAAAAUUAAUGCUGAAUACAUAAGAAACAAACCUUCAUUUAACAGGAAGGUUGCAAAAGCAAUAACAGAAUGCAAGUCAUUGAUUUGUAGAGUUACACUACUUCUUACCCUUCCAUUUUUACAGAUAUAAUCAAACAGUUCUCCUCCUGAAACAUAUUCCAUCACCAUGAAAAUGUCAGUUGGUGUACUGAUGACCUGGUACCUGAUAAGAAUAAGUAUCUGUUAGUCUAUGCACUCAGUAAAAGCAGCUAGUUACACUUAGUUAAAACCAAAGUUGUGCAAAAAGUCAGAUAAAAGUAUACUUGAAAAAAAUUAACAGCCCAUUUAAAGCUACUGGAAUGAUAAUAUUUUUCAGAAGCUAUUUCCUCUCCUUUCACUAUGUGAUACCAUCAUCGCCAAGAUUACCAGGGAAUUUGUAUUUCCCACAAGGAUCAGUCUUUGUGCUUUCAGAGGACUACUCUGAGUCCAAAUGUUUUCUGUGAAGCCAUAUACAGUGCUGUCUCACAGACAUUUUAGUGUAAUGAAGAAGGGAUUCAAAAGGACUUUGCUAGUGUCUUAAAAAGCACACACCCUUCAACUUUAAACAGGCAAAACCCCUUGCCUUGUCAUAAAUAAAGUAUACUUCAAGACUUGAAAAAAUAUUCAUGAUGAUUGAAAGCAAUUAUCUUUUAAAAAGAGACCUAAAUUUCUCAUUAGUACUUAAGAGUAUUAACACCUUGGGUUUAUUUUUAUCACUAUACUUUAAAGUCAGCUUUGAGGUUUUGAAAAAACUAGUUUAUGGUCAAAUUCUCCACUUAGGAGAUUGAUAUGUUUUCUACAUACCCUUACCUAAAGGUUGUUUAGUUUUUUUUUCUUCUUCCAGCAGUCAGAAGUGACCAAUUUUUAACAUAGCAAGAAAAUGCACACCGAUAAACCUUCAGUCAAAAAAUUCAAAUACUAUGUUAAGAAGACAGGAGAUAGCAAUUGGAUGCCAAUGAAUGCUUCAAGGUACUACACUUAAGCAUACAAAUAUCCCAAUUGUAAAACAAUAAUUGAAUUCACCCAUACACUACAGAACUGAAAUGUUCUUCCAAGUGCUGAUUCUGAGACAAGGGGGAAAAACAUACAUGCUCCAGCUAACAAAGUUUUUCUUGACAGCAGUGAGUUCAGACUAUCCAGGUGAAUGUAUAUGUGCAUGUAUAUAUGUGUGCAUGUAUCUAUUUUAACAGCUUAGCAUUGUAAUGUAACAUUACAAUAAUCUGAAUACUAUUCUGAAGGAGUCAUCUUCAAAGUUAACUUACCUAACAUCUUAUAGUCCAAGAUGUUUUACCUUUACUAAUUUUCUCUCAAAUACCUUGGUUGAAAGUGUCAUGUACUUGAACAUUCUGAAGUUAUCACUAAGACACUCUACAGAAAUAACAUUGUAAUCCUUUUAAUCCAGAAGCUACAGUGCAACCUCAUUUCUAACACCUCUACUGUUAAUGACCUUUUCCGUAGUUGUGAAAUUACUAAGCUCUAUGCUUCAGGCAAACAUGAGCAAGCUUAUAUUUUAGAUCUUCAUGGUCAUUUUCCAUCCUCUAGAUAGUGAGAUAGUGAACAGUGCUGGAAGAUAAGCCUCUUAGCAUCACUGAAAAGAAUGAGCCAUUCUGCACCUCACAUUUUCAGCCUCUUGGAAGAUUCAGUCAUGUUUCUCUAUAGUCAGUUCAUUUUUGUAGUUAUGGAAAAAGAUGUAGUGAAAUAGUUACAUACCUAUAAGUAAGGUUAUCAAACCACACAGCAUAGAUGACCAGAAUGCACAAAGAGGCAAUUUACAUAGGAAAACAAGAUGCAUUCUAUUGCUAGAGGUCAAAAACCACAACAGGAGAUGCUCCAAAGGUUUUUAUUUAAAGCAUGGUAUAAAAAGAAAAUCUUUGUGAGGCAGCUUUGCAACUGCAUAUAUUGGUAAAGCAUUGUAUGAAAAAAUUUAAUAAAGCAUGCUGUUUCAAAUUA